RNAcentral lists this ribosomal RNA (468 nucleotides) under uncultured bacterium. RNAcentral's name for it is "partial 16S ribosomal RNA". It matches the Rfam family "Bacterial small subunit ribosomal RNA", at positions 28 to 507 of the family's 1533-position model. The record is from RNAcentral.
GACGAACGCUGGCGGCGUGCUUAACACAUGCAAGUCGAACGGAAAGGCCCUGCUUUUGUGGGGUGCUCGAGUGGCGAACGGGUGAGUAACACGUGAGUAACCUGCCCUUGACUUUGGGAUAACUUCAGGAAACUGGGGCUAAUACCGGAUAGGAGCUCCUGCUGCAUGGUGGGGGUUGGAAAGUUUCGGCGGCUGGGGAUGGACUCGCGGCUUAUCAGCUUGUUGGUGGGGUAGUGGCUUACCAAGGCUUUGACGGGUAGCCGGCCUGAGAGGGUGACCGGCCACAUUGGGACUGAGAUACGGCCCGGACUCCUACGGGAGGCAGCAGUGGGGAAUAUUGCACAAUGGGCGGAAGCCUGAUGCAGCAACGCCGCGUGCGGGAUGACGGCCUUCGGGUUGUAAACCGCUUUCGCCUGUGACGAAGCGUGAGUGACGGUAAUGGGUAAAGAAGCACCGGCUAACUACGUG